GAAACCGAGUCUUAAUUGGGCGUUAAGUUGCAGGGUAUAGACCCGAAACCCGGUGAUCUAGCCAUGGGCAGGUUGAAGGUUGGGUAACACUAACUGGAGGACCGAACCGACUAAUGUUGAAAAAUUAGCGGAUGACCUGUGGCUGGGGGUGAAAGGCCAAUCAAACCGGGAGAUAGCUGGUUCUCCCCGAAAGCUAUUUAGGUAGCGCCUCGUGAAUUCAUCUCCGGGGGUAGAGCACUGUUUCGGCUAGGGGGCCAUCCCGGCUUACCAACCCGAUGCAAACUGCGAAUACCGGAGAAUGUUAUCACGGGAGACACACGGCGGGUGCUAACGUCCGUCGUGAAGAGGGAAACAACCCAGACCGCCAGCUAAGGUCCCAAAGUCAUGGUUAAGUGGGAAACGAUGUGGGAAGGCCCAGACAGCCAGGAUGUUGGCUUAGAAGCAGCCAUCAUUUAAAGAAAGCGUAAUAGCUCACUGGUCGAGUCGGCCUGCGCGGAAGAUGUAACGGGGCUAAACCAUGCACCGAAGCUGCGGCAGCGACGCUGAUGCGUUGUUGGGUAGGGGAGCGUUCUGUAAGCCUGUGAAGGUGUGUCGUGAGGC
Molecule: ribosomal RNA, 600 nt
Filed under: Salmonella enterica subsp. enterica serovar Oranienburg
Lineage: Bacteria; Pseudomonadati; Pseudomonadota; Gammaproteobacteria; Enterobacterales; Enterobacteriaceae
Description: partial 23S ribosomal RNA
Rfam family: Bacterial large subunit ribosomal RNA
Source: RNAcentral